This 3801-nucleotide long non-coding RNA is filed under the name Musa acuminata (dwarf banana). Its description in RNAcentral is "long non-coding RNA (MACU_LNC002928)". Lineage: Eukaryota; Viridiplantae; Streptophyta; Magnoliopsida; Zingiberales; Musaceae. The record is from RNAcentral.
GAUUCGACCCGAACACAGCAUCGGCGAUGGUGAUGGUGCCAGGGUUUUGGCUGCUGAGAGCACCGAUGGCGAAGGUGUUGGUGUGCCCAGGGUUGAACUGGAAGUGGAUGAGGCCUUGGGGGAACACAAACACAUCACCCUUCUUCAGCAUCUUGGUGAAGAGACGGUUGCCGUCGUCGCUGUUGGAUGUGACGAAGCCGACCAAGAGCUGUCCCUCUAUGACGGUGAGGAUCUCGGUGGCACGGGGGUGAGUGUGGGGCGGGUUGAGGCCAUUGGGGAUGUAGUCGAUGCGAACCAUGGAGAUGCCGAGGGUGUUGAGCCCUGGAAUCUGGAUCACGUUGGCAGGCGUGACAUUGAACCCGAAAUUGUUCUUUCCUGUAUCGCCGGGCAUGUCGAGGCCAGAAAGAGAGAAGUCGUCGGCUUUCACAACCAUGGGGUCCUUGCAGACGAAUCCAUUCACCCGCACUGCAACAGCAGAAGGAAGAAGCAAACUCGGUCGGUAAACAUGCAUCAGGAGAACAAACGCACCGAAGGAAAUUAAUCUGGAUACUAUGAAUACCUUUAGACAUCAUAUCUGCGACACAGAAGUCUUGAAGUUGGCUAGGAUCGGAAGCCAUUGCAAGAGAGGAAGCCAUGGCGAGGAGAACAAGGAGAAACAUUUCGGCGGCCAUCUGUAAUCUCUUAGAUGGAUGGGAUUACCUGGUGCCGUGAUACAGUGGCCUGGAAGAGACGGGUAUAUAUAGAGAAGCAGGCUCUGAAACAUUCAUGAUCAUUAGGUGAAGGAGAUGAAAAGUAUACCAUGUUAGGUUGCUUUCUUCUUGCAAUAUAUUUUCUAUAGCCGUCACCUCGUACGAGAUCCAUAUGAUGCACAGUAACCAUUAAAUUUGUUGACGUGUCUCAGUAACCUAAUCCAUGACCAUUUUAUAUGUAUAUAUAUAAUGAUGGAGCUUUUAGUUAGAUCAUGCUGUAGUGUAAAAUGGACUCUUACGUUCGACUGCAUAAUCCACCACGUGAGAUUUUUGUGACGACCUUACGCUACCAAACAAGAGGAGAAGUCAGCAAAGAUGUGGCAGCUGAACAGAACAAGCUAAGGACAGGUAGAAAGAACAAGAAGCCAAAGAUGUGAUUACCAAUUUGACCUUGUCGGGUCUUGUGUACUGCUACGGCUGAUACCGUGUAUUAUAAUUAAGGUGUUCUACGUCAUCUCCGACUAUUUUCAUCACACUGAGACGUCGCGUGCAUGUUGCAAAGAAGUAUGUAAAUACGUAAGUUCUUAAGAGAUUAUAAGUUGAUAUAAUGCUGUCCAAGAAUAGUAAGCAUGUUGAUAGUUGCCUCUACGUUAAACGCUUAUGGGAUCCUAAGUUAUUAAGAGAUCAUAAGAGAUUUUAAAAAUACUAAAUCUUCGUAUAUAGGUAUACAAGAAUAUUGUACGAUUUAGAUAAAAUCAAUUAUAUUCGUGAUAAAAAUCAAUGAGGUUAGGUGAGAUAAAAUAUUUUUUUUAAUUAAAUAUCUAAAGUAAAAUUAACAUAUCAACAUUACAUUGUUCACAUAAAAUUUAUAAUCAUAUUAUCUAUAAUACGAAAAAAAAAUUAUGUCAAAAUUUAAAAUCAAAUAAUAAUGGAUCUAAAUAAUAUUACGAUGCAUACCUUUCGUUGUUAUUUAGAAGAAUAAAUAUUAUCUGAUCUACAGGCGUAUCAUCGUCGGAUCUAAAUGAAAUACUUCUAUUUAGCCCUUAAGAUCAUAUCUAUUUAUAAACAAAAACAAAGAGUCUAAGAUAAGAUAUUAGAAGAAUUCCUCCCAUAAGGAUAUCCUUGGAAUCCUACUAUAAUAUGAAUUUUUUUUUUAUUAAUCAAUAAUCAUAAUCAGAAUUCAAUCAUAUCUAUAAUAUAUUUUACCUAAUUAAAUAUGACCACACAAUCUAACACUCAAUCAUAAAUCCACGAAUCAUAAAUCCAUAAAAAACCAGAAUUUUUGAACUCAUUUCAACCGAGUUCCCAAAAAGUUUAUUAAGUAAAUAAGAUAUUAUUAUGAAUACAAAACAUUUUAAAGUUUUAUAGAUGAUAAUUCUUUUCUAGAAGGUUCUGCCAGCGAGGAUGAAUAAAAAAAAAAGAAAAAUAUCGAUAUAAUAUUUGUAAUUUAUAUAAAUAUAAACAUUUUUCGUCCAUCCAACUCAGCGACCUCUCUGGCAAUCAGAAAGAUUUCAAUAACGAUCAAACAAAGGCUAAUCGAUUAUUUCAGUCAUCAGAUUUUGGUGGCAACGACAUGUUACCAAACACCAUAAAGAAGCUCUCAAAGUCCGACCACGAGACAAGACAAAGUUGCCAGUACGAAUCCGUCUCCGUUCUUCGACCUCGUUCCAUACUGUAUAUUACGAUCGAAGUGAACUGUGUCAUCUUCAACUAUUUCACCAUCACACUGUUUAUAUAUUAUUAUGGUCUAUUUGUGAUCACAACAUAAGAGUUCAAAUUCAUAAUUAUAUUUCAUUUUAGUAAAUGAAUAAAUUGGAGUGAUUGAUACCGCCGGUUAUAGGUGGAUGCAAUCGAGCCAUAUACUACUACUGAACUUUGUAGAUCCCAUGUCAUACAAGUCAAGACAAAAGCACUCCUUUCGGGAAUUCUUGGUGAUGACUUGUUGAAGUUAUGAUCGUGUAUACAAUAUCUCAUGUUUCAGUCAUAAUAUUUGCAUAAAUUGACUUAUUACCGGUAUAUUUUAGUAAAGUUGUCUGCAUAGAUAUAUAAAGUUCAUGAACCUGAGGGAGGAUAAACAUAAGGUGGAUAAAGAAGUAUGCAUAUAUAUAUAUAAUAUGAGAUAUUACACUUUUUGAGGAUGCUGCACUCCAUAUAAUCUAUAAUCUUCCAGGUGGGAAAUACUAUCAUAUGAUCUAAAUAUUGAAAUAUGACUCAUGGAUUUCUUUCUUAAAAAUCAAGUUUUAUUUAUUAUAUUUAAUGACGUGUUUAUAUGAAAUUUGCAACAGUACACCAAUCGUAUGUCAAUAGAGAUGACUCGAGAAUUCUGAAACAUGACACACUUCAUACGUACUUUUCAUAACAUAGAAAGGUCUCUUAAUUCCAUUACAAUAGCAAACGCAAACAGGUAGUCCACUGUUUGCUUAUUCACACCAAAACACACGAGCUAAGAGUGCAGCUUAAUUCAUUCCUCCGACUAGUUUUUCUUCGCGAACUGAGCCUGAAGCCAGUCGACAAGCUUCUUGUCCACUUGGAAAGCCUUGGCGAGGAUUUCAUCCGAGAUGGGGGGAUUCGCCCCGAACACAGCAUCGGCGAUUGUGAUGGUGCCGGGGUUUUGGCUACUGAGAGCACCGAUGGCGAAGGUGUUGGUGUACCCAGGGUUGAACUGGAAGUGGAUGAGGCCUUGAGGGAACACAAACACAUCACCCUUCUUCAGCAUCUUGGUGAAGAGGCGGUUGUCGGUGUUGGAUGUGACGAAGCCGACUAAGAGCUGUCCCUCUAUGACGGUGAGGAUCUCGGUGGCACGGGGGUGAGUGUGGGGCGGGUUGAGGCCUUUGGGGAUGUAGUCGAUGCGAACCAUGGAGAUGCCGAGGGUGUUGAGUCCUGGAAUCUGCAUCACGUUGGCAGGCGUGACAUUGAACCCGAACUUGUUUCCGGUAUCGCCAGGCAUGUCGAGGCCAGAAAGAGAGAAGUCGUCGGCUUUCACAACCAUGGGGUCCUUGCAGACGAACCCAUUCACCCGCACUGCAACAGCAGAAGGAAGAAGCAAACUCGGUCGGUAAACAUGCAUCAGGAGAACAAACGCACCGAAGGAAAUUAAUCUGGAUACUAUGAA